Molecule: ribosomal RNA, 253 nt
Filed under: uncultured bacterium
Lineage: Bacteria
Description: partial 16S ribosomal RNA
Rfam family: Bacterial small subunit ribosomal RNA
Source: RNAcentral
UACGUAGGUGGCGAGCGUUGUCCGGAUUUACUGGGCGUAAAGAGCGCGCAGGCGGCUGGUCAAGUCCGAUGUGAAAGCUCCCGGCUUAACUGGGAAAUUGCAUCGGAAACUGAUCGGCUGGAAGGUGGGAUAGGGUAGCGGAAUUCCCGGUGUAGUGGUGAAAUGCGUAGAUAUCGGGAGGAACACCAGUGGCGAAGGCGGGUCUCUGGACAGUUCCUGACACUGAGGCACGAAGGCCAGGGGAGCAAACGGG